CAGUAGCCACGGUAAUACGGAGGGUGCAAGCGUUAAUCGGAAUUACUGGGCGUAAAGCGCACGCAGGCGGUCCGACAAGUCAGAUGUGAAAUCCCCGGGCUUAACCUGGGAACUGCAUUUGAAACUGUCAGGCUGGAGUCUUGUAGAGGGGGGUGGAAUUCCAGGUGUAGCGGUGAAAUGCGUAGAGAUCUGGAGGAAUACCGGUGGCGAAGGCGGCCCCCUGGACAAAGACUGACGCUCAGGUGCGAAAGCGUGGGGAGCAAACAGGAUUAGAUACCCGUGUAGUCCCUGUCUCUUAUAC
RNAcentral lists this ribosomal RNA (301 nucleotides) under uncultured bacterium. RNAcentral describes it as "partial 16S ribosomal RNA". It matches the Rfam family "Bacterial small subunit ribosomal RNA", at positions 509 to 807 of the family's 1533-position model. The record is from RNAcentral.